This 503-nucleotide ribosomal RNA is filed under the name uncultured bacterium. Its description in RNAcentral is "partial 16S ribosomal RNA". It matches the Rfam family "Bacterial small subunit ribosomal RNA", at positions 30 to 523 of the family's 1533-position model. The record is from RNAcentral.
AUUGAACGCUGGCGGCAGGCUUAACACAUGCAAGUCGAGCGGGGUGAUGGUGCUUGCACUAUCACUUAGCGGCGGACGGGUGAGUAAUGCUUAGGAAUCUGCCUAUUAGUGGGGGACAACAUCUCGAAAGGGAUGCUAAUACCGCAUACGUCCUACGGGAGAAAGCAGGGGAUCACUUGUGACCUUGCGCUAAUAGAUGAGCCUCGGUCGGAUUAGCUAGUUGGUGGGGUAAAGGCCUACCAAGGCGACGAUCUGUAGCGGGUCUGAGAGGAUGAUCCGCCACACGGGGACUGGGACACGGCCCAGACUCCUACGGGAGGCAGCAGUGGGGAAUAUUGGACAAUGGGGGGAGCCCUGAUCCAGCCAUGCCGCGUGUGUGAAGAAGGCCUUAUGGUUGUAAAGCACUUUAAGCGAGGAGGAGGCUCUUUUGGUUAAUACCCAAGAUGAGUGGACGUUACUCGCAGAAUAAGCACCGGCUAACUCUGUGCCAGCAGCCGCCGUAA